CCAUACCAGCCGGGGAAUUAGCGGUGCCCUGUACCUGAAAUCCGCUAUAGCAGGGGUGCAUUCCUCUUCUGAGGGCCGAGCGUUUUCGGUCUGUGGCGCACUUUUCAUGUUGAGAAGUGGGUCUUGCGCAAUCGGGAGCUGUGAACCAUGUCAGGUGGGGAACCAAGCAGCAUUAAGCGGUGUACCCGAUGUGCCGCGAGUCAGCCUGCUUUGAGUGAAGGGUGCGUAUGUCGCGCGGACGCGACGUUCGAGGUUGAGGUGUAUGG
RNAcentral lists this signal recognition particle RNA (266 nucleotides) under Oscillospiraceae bacterium. RNAcentral describes it as "signal recognition particle sRNA large type". It matches the Rfam family "Bacterial large signal recognition particle RNA". From Rfam's summary of the family: The signal recognition particle (SRP) is a universally conserved ribonucleoprotein involved in the co-translational targeting of proteins to membranes. Archaeal SRP consists of a 7S RNA and homologues of the eukaryotic SRP19 and SRP54 proteins. In most bacteria, the SRP consists of a 4.5S RNA and the Ffh protein (a homologue of the eukaryotic SRP54 protein). The record is from RNAcentral. Lineage: Bacteria; Bacillati; Bacillota; Clostridia; Eubacteriales; Oscillospiraceae.